UUCACUCUCACUAAUGCACUUGAGCAACACCUCUUGUGGAGUCUUUUUUGAACAACUUAUUCCCAAUAAUGACGUAACUUAGCGCCUUAUAUUUUGUUUUUUGAUUUGUUGUUCCUGUUAGGUUUUUAAGGAACUCAAUAAUUUCCCUUCGCCAAUCGUUGUUUUCUAUGUUGUCGAUGGUGUAAGACCCCAAUUUUGUCCC
RNAcentral lists this long non-coding RNA (202 nucleotides) under Lathyrus oleraceus (garden pea). Its description in RNAcentral is "Pisum sativum (pea) long non-coding RNA (PSAT_LNC013868)". The record is from RNAcentral. Lineage: Eukaryota; Viridiplantae; Streptophyta; Magnoliopsida; Fabales; Fabaceae.